GAACUGGGUUCCCCCCACAUUGUGGGUGGGGAAAGGGAUCCAGACUAGGAAAUAUUUUCAGGCGUGCAAAAGGCAAGUCUUUCUCAGCAACUGAACUAAAAGCGUGGACCUCUUCCCGCAAAAUAUCAUCUCCUGUGCAAACUGCUAGAAAUACUCUCUCGUCUGUUCUGGAUGGAAGAAGUCUAUAAAUCGCCUGCAGGGAGGCCUCUCAGAGAAGUACAAAUCUGUGGAUCAAACAUUAAUCAGGAUGUAGAAGAAGGUGGCUGGCUGGUUGUCCCACCCAGCUCAGCGGCUGCGGUUCUCUCAAGGACAUCACACAUAUGGCGCCACUAGAUGCCACUGUCGAGACACAUUUGUUCUUUGAUCUGGCUUCUCCAAAGGUAUUCAGGAAAAUCACAUUAAAAGAAUGGCAAGAUAUGUUUA
Lepidothrix coronata (blue-crowned manakin) is the source of this 423-nucleotide long non-coding RNA. RefSeq lists it as uncharacterized. NCBI's taxonomy places the organism in Eukaryota, Metazoa, Chordata, Aves, Passeriformes, Pipridae. The record is from RefSeq and is a predicted model, not a curated record. The transcript has 2 exons.